UGCAGCCAUGUAAAAUUCAGUGCUUCCUCCUAUGUGGCCAAAAUGGCUGCCACAUUGAAGCUGUAUUUCAUGGGCCCCACGGUGCUUCAUCAUGUCCACUGGGGAUAUAAAUGUACUACACACAAAC
Molecule: small nucleolar RNA, 127 nt
Organism: Gymnodraco acuticeps
Lineage: Eukaryota; Metazoa; Chordata; Actinopteri; Perciformes; Bathydraconidae
Product: small nucleolar RNA SNORA5
Exons: 1
Source: RefSeq, a predicted model, not a curated record